AAAUCCUACAGUCAUUCUUCCACACAUAAAGGGAAAACGGACUCACUAGGAGGACCUAGACUCUUUCAGCUUGAACUGUUAACCAAUGGUGGAAAUGCAAGAAUGCUGAAGUUGUGCCUUCAGAGCCAAUAGAGUGGAUUUGUGUGUCCCACAUGACUGUGUUUCCCCUGUCUUUCACAUGGGCAGUAUUUAGUUCAAUUCAGAACUGCAGAUAGUAUAGCGUGCAGAGCAGCAAUGGGAUGUCUGAGCACAAGUGGCUGACUUCCAGGCGACUUCAAGAAGUGCAUUUGUACAUUUCUGCCGAAUUAAAUUGGAAUUCUGCACCCUUGACAUCCUCCUACCCUCCUGGUCUCUGCGGAAGGAGACAGCAACCUGCGCAGCACAACAAAACUAGAAAUCAUCACAGAAUUGCAGAAGAGCAAACGAAGUGAGCUGAGGGCAAUUCGACUGUCUUCUCUGUCAGUUCCCCAGAAGUCUAUGAAGCAUAUUACUCGGUCUCCAAGAAAGAUGUUUGGAGAACUGCCAGCUUCUUGCACGAAGAUUGAAACAGGAUGGGCAGAAAAGGGUGCUGGUGUGGACAUUUAAGGACGCUGUCAAGUCAAUGGAGUUCUGUUGUAGUGGUUGCUUCAGUGAACAUUCAACGCUGUCGGCCUUCACACCGAAGAUAGAAACCUAACCAGCACAUGAGGUUUCUCCCCCACCCUGCCCAGCUUUACAUAAAAAGGUCACAAUCAACAUUCAUUGCUGUCGGUGGGUUUAACUAUGUGGACAAGCUCACUGAACAAUGAAUGCAACUGUGGCCCCACAUUUUACAGUUGCCAUUGAGAGGAACAUCAGCUCUGAAAGGAGUAGUAAGAAGCAGACACUUCUUAUAGGCUACUUUUUUUUCUGGUCGAGAAAUAGUUGAGGAUACUCAAUUUUCACUUCCUUGUUUUUAAGUGACUUUUUUCUGGAAUAUUGUCCUUGCAGAGUUUGGCAUGGUUGAAACCAUAAAAAUCCUUGUUUAAUAUGUAUGUAGAAGCAAAUAAUAAGGAACUUUGUGUAUAUGUACUCCUCAAGACUCAGCAUAGGAGGGAAAGGGUAUUUAAAUCUCAUCUAAACUAGGCAUUGUGGAACAGUUCACAAAAAUGCCUUUUACACUUGUCAAGACAAAAAUAGAAAUGAAAGCCAGAAUUAAAAUAUAUAGAUGUAUCAAAAAAUUAGUUUUGCAUAAAACUAAUCUUAUGCACCUAAAUCAAUGGUGUUAGCAAAUAUUAGAUUUGCCUUUUCUAGUGGUCAGAGGGAUUACAGAAAUAGAUGUAUAUCCAGUAACUAUAAUUGAACAAUGAACAGUUAAACUGUAAAAUUACUGUUUACUUCGGGUACCAAUGUCACACUUAGUAUUGCUAAUAGUAAUAAGAAAAUAAACAAAAUUAAAGCUCA
Long non-coding RNA from Cygnus atratus (black swan), 1422 nucleotides. RefSeq lists it as uncharacterized. The transcript is spliced from 5 exons. The record is from RefSeq and is a predicted model, not a curated record. NCBI's taxonomy places the organism in Eukaryota, Metazoa, Chordata, Aves, Anseriformes, Anatidae.